Molecule: long non-coding RNA, 390 nt
Organism: Ictalurus punctatus (channel catfish)
Lineage: Eukaryota; Metazoa; Chordata; Actinopteri; Siluriformes; Ictaluridae
Source: Ensembl
UGUUUAUUUAUUAAAAGACUUGUCCAGCGCUAGAAGAACCAGAGAGCUGCUUCACAGAAGAAAGAAGAAGAAGAAGAAGCAGAAGGAGGAAAUGAGACUUGUCCAGCGCUAGAAGAACCAGAGAGCUGCUUCACAGAAGAAAGAAGAAGAAGAAGAAGCAGAAGGAGGAAAUGAGAGAGCUUUUUAGUGAAGCCGUGAGCUGCUGAAUGAUUUCUGAGUUUUUAAUUUAAUCUCUGAUCCAGAAUCCUAAAUUGUGGUGGUCUCCUUUACCUACCGUGUAGUGAUUAGAAGACUAUCAUGAUUCAGUGAUCCCGUGUGUGAAGCUGCUCCGUUUUGUACUCUGUAUAGCAAUAAAAAUACACAACCAUUUUAUCAUGAGAUCUGCUGGAC